This 331-nucleotide ribosomal RNA is filed under the name uncultured eukaryote. Its description in RNAcentral is "partial 18S ribosomal RNA". It matches the Rfam family "Eukaryotic small subunit ribosomal RNA", at positions 1470 to 1796 of the family's 1831-position model. The record is from RNAcentral.
CCCUUAGAUGUUCUGGGCCGCACGCGCGCUACACUGACGAAGUCAGCGAGCAUGUCCUACGCCGACAGGUGCGGGGAAUCUUGUCAAACUUCGUCGUGAUGGGGAUUGAUUAUUGAAAUUCUUGAUCAUCAACGAGGAAUUCCUAGUAAGCGCAAGUCAGCAGCUUGCGUUGAUUACGUCCCUGCCCUUUGUACACACCGCCCGUCGCUACUACCGAUUGAAUGGUUUAGUGAGAUCUUCGGAUUGGCGCCACUGCGGCUCAGCAAUGGGCUCGGUGGAUGCCGAAAUGUUGAUCAAACUUGAUCAUUUAGAGGAAGUAAAAGUCGUAACA